CUACGAGGGGUGCAAGCGUUAAUCGGAAUUACUGGGCGUAAAGCGUUCGUAGGCGGUUUGUUAAGCAAGAUGUGAAAGCCCUGGGCUCAACCUGGGAACUGCAUUUUGAACUGGCAAACUAGAAUACUGUAGAGGGUGGUGGAAUUUCCAGUGCAGCGGUGAAAUGCGUAGAGAUUGGAAGGAACAUCAGUGGCGAAGGCGGCCACCUGGACAGAUAUUGACGCUGAGGAACGAAAGCGUGGGGAGCGAACAGGAUUAGAAACCCGAGUAGUCC
This 274-nucleotide ribosomal RNA is filed under the name uncultured bacterium. RNAcentral describes it as "partial 16S ribosomal RNA". It matches the Rfam family "Bacterial small subunit ribosomal RNA", at positions 523 to 796 of the family's 1533-position model. The record is from RNAcentral.